GUGGGGAAUCUUGCGCAAUGGGCGAAAGCCUGACGCAGCAACGCCGCGUGCGGGAUGAAGGCCCUCGGGUUGUAAACCGCUUUCAGCAGGGACGAAGAUGACGGUACCUGCAGAAGAAGCCCCGGCCAACUACGUGCCAGCAGCCGCGGUAACACGUAGGGGGCGAGCGUUGUCCGGAUUUAUUGGGCGUAAAGAGCUCGUAGGCGGUUCCGUCAGUCGGGUGUGAAAACUCUGGGCUCAACCCAGAGACGCCACCCGAUACUGCGGUGACUAGAGUCCGGUAGGGGAGUGCGGAAUUCCUGGUGUAGCGGUGAAAUGCGCAGAUAUCAGGAGGAACACCAACGGCGAAGGCAGCACUCUGGGCCGGUACUGACGCUGAGGAGCGAAAGCGUGGGGAGCGAACAGGAUUAGAAACCCGUGUAGUCC
RNAcentral lists this ribosomal RNA (426 nucleotides) under uncultured bacterium. RNAcentral describes it as "bacterial SSU rRNA". It matches the Rfam family "Bacterial small subunit ribosomal RNA", at positions 354 to 796 of the family's 1533-position model. The record is from RNAcentral.